UACGUAGGGGGCUAGCGUUGUCCGGAUUUAUUGGGCGUAAAGAGCGUGUAGGCGGCCAUGUAGGUCCGGUGUGAAAACUCGAGGCUUAACCUCGAGAUGUCAUCGGAAACCAUUUGGCUAGAGUCCGGAAGAGGAGAGUGGAAUUCCUGGUGUAGCGGUGAAAUGCGCAGAUAUCAGGAAGAACACCAAUGGCGAAAGCAGCUCUCUGGGACGGUACUGACGCUGAGGAGC
RNAcentral lists this ribosomal RNA (231 nucleotides) under uncultured bacterium. RNAcentral's name for it is "partial 16S ribosomal RNA". It matches the Rfam family "Bacterial small subunit ribosomal RNA", at positions 524 to 754 of the family's 1533-position model. The record is from RNAcentral.